ACGGAGGGUGCAAGCGUUAAUCGGAAUUACUGGGCGUAAAGCGUGCGUAGGUGGUUCGUUAAGUCCGUUGUGAAAGCCCCGAGCUCAACUUGGGAAUUGCAGUGGAUACUGGCGAGCUGGAGUGCGGUAGAGGAAGGUGGAAUUCCCGGUGUAGCGGUGAAAUGCGUAGAGAUCGGGAGGAACACCGGUGGCGAAGGCGGCCUUCUGGACGGUGACUGACGCUGAGGCGCGAAAGCGUGGGGAGCAAACGGGA
RNAcentral lists this ribosomal RNA (253 nucleotides) under uncultured prokaryote. RNAcentral's name for it is "partial 16S ribosomal RNA". It matches the Rfam family "Bacterial small subunit ribosomal RNA", at positions 525 to 777 of the family's 1533-position model. The record is from RNAcentral.